This 61-nucleotide small nuclear RNA is filed under the name Terrapene triunguis (Three-toed box turtle). RNAcentral describes it as "Terrapene carolina triunguis (Three-toed box turtle) U7 small nuclear RNA (ENSTMTG00000007620.1)". It matches the Rfam family "U7 small nuclear RNA". Rfam says of the family: Animal histone pre-mRNAs are spliced by a different mechanism than nuclear pre-mRNAs and self-splicing introns. This processing involves the U7 snRNP, which contains only one RNA species: U7. The record is from Rfam by way of RNAcentral. Lineage: Eukaryota; Metazoa; Chordata; Testudines; Emydidae.
GAGUGAUUUCAGCUCUUCCGGUAUUUGUCUAGCAGGUUUUUCACUUCCCCAGGCAGCCUUA